CACGAUUAUUAAUAACAAAAGGUAUUGAUUUUGAUUUAUGUGUUUACUCUAAUGUAUAUAUUUUUAUGUAUACAAAUUAUUAUUUAAAUAGGUGGUUUCUAAUAUGUUAUUUGAUCCUGAAAAUCCUAGAAAUACACUUGUUCGAAUCGAAGUGAUUUUUAAUAUUGGAAACACUAUAUAUUAUCUUAUACAAUAAAUGAGAGUUGUCUCUCUCCUUCUUCCUCCACAUCAUCGUUUUAGUAUGGGCAAAAUUGGACACGUGGCAGGUGAUUUUUUUUGGUUCACUCUUUCUUUUUUUUACGUUUUGAGUGUUGGGCCUCUUAUUUUGUCUUUUGUUAUUAUAGUUUUCUGGAUUUUGGGCUUUUACAAGACGUUUUUGUUCAGACCAAUCACGUGUAGGGUUUCAUUAUCUUCUUAACUUUAACAUUCAUAGCUCAGCAAGUCAGCAUCCUUGCUAAGCCGUCGAUCAACUCACUAUAACGUAUCUCAUUUGCAUUAAAACUUACUUUAAUCCGAGUUUUAACGUGAUUACCCCCACCUCCUACUCUCAAAACAUUCAAUUGGACUCAUCGUCUCCCAAUUAAACCGACGGGGGCUCCGACUAUAAAUCUCCUAGCGAUGACAGCACAACUUCACCAAAUCGAGAAGAACGAGGACCAGUCUCCAAGGUCUUCCGAUCCGUUCACCCUCUCGAUCACUCUCUAACUUUCGUUAUCAUCUCCUUGCUACUUUCGAUUUCAAAAUUUUAGUGUUUUUUCUUUGUUUUUUAUGUGGGAUAGUGUUGGAGAUCAAGAGAUCAAAGGAUUGAUCUUUUGAUUUUAACACGAUUAUAAUUUUAUGUGCAGGAAGAUGACAGGCUUAAGAGUAUGUGAUCAGUGAUGCUACUGCGAUUGUCCAGACAAGUUUAUAGCAUCGUAUAAUAUCGUGGACGGUACUGUAUACCAGGCUCCACAGCGUUGUAGUGUCUUUGCAGCUCGAGUUGUAUGUUUCUUCAUCUUUUCUAUUUACGUUCAUGUGUUGCUUAGAGGGCUGAGACGCAAACAGUUUUUUUUUGUUGCUGCUAAAGUGUUUUUUUUUUGUUUUCUUCUCUUUCUCCUCUAGGGUUGGCUGUUUAUAAUAUUUAGAAGGCUUUCUCUGCAGCUGCAUUAAAGUAGGAGACCAUUAGGCAGGUUGAUGCCAAAAACCAGAAUGAGCCUUCUGAGACAAAGCCCCCAAUAAUACACAAUCUUUCACACCACUUCUCUUUCGAUUCAUCAAAAGAUGUCUUCAUAGAAAACAUGAAGCAACACACCUUAUAUAAGAAAAAAACGGAAUUGAACAGUAUAUAUGUCGAAGAAGUCAAGACUUCUUUGAGCAACGCGUUUCUUCAGGCCGAUCUUGCUUUAGCAAAGGACUGCAACAAAGGCUCUUUUCUCAGGUUUUUCUUCUGGUACCUGGUACCUCGGCUCUUGCUGCCCUUAUUUUUGGAAGGUAUUUUUGUUAGCUUCGACCAAACUCGUCUUCAGAAUCACUAAGAUUUGAUCUUAAGUGUAGGUUUGUGUGCUCAUGAUUGUUGUUCUGUUUCUGAACCAGACACUUAAUGGUUGCAAAUGCAGGAGAUGGCAGAGCUGUUCUCCGUAGGAAUGGUGAAGCCAUAGACAUGUCUCAAGACCACAAACCCAUCUACUUACCGUAAAGAAGAAAGUCGAAGGAAGUGGCGGCUUUGACGAUGCCAGUUACUUAAAUGGCAUAGCGAUUAGGACAUGAAACUAUCACGAGGGUCAUGAUAUCCACUCAUAGAAGAGCCAGGAGAUCAAAAAGAUACAUGUAAUAGAGGAAGACAAGUUUCUGAUAAUGGGAUGCGAUAAUUCAAAAGGUUUUUGUAUCGUUAGGUGUGAAUUACGUCGUCACCAUGACCCGAUAAAGCUUGCUUUGAGGUCUUUAAGGCUAGAUAAGUUUGCUAACCUAACAGUGGUUGUUUAAUUCUUGUCGGCUGAUGACAUGGCGAUGGUCGCUCCUCUGGUGGAGGAUCAAGUUUGACGGCAUAAGCUUCUCAGAGAUUGAGGGCCUUAUUUGACGGUUGAAUGAAAAGAUAGUAACAUUCCCUUUUGUGUUCUUGGCUGAGCUUUUUCUUUUUGUUGUAUAUUUGGUGUCUGUAUGUAACUUCCAGUGUCUACAUGCCCCAGUUUUGUGUAAGCGGUUAUGUGUUCAUGAAUGGAUUGAAAGUUUUUAUAUGUACAUGCUUCAUUUAGCUUAUAUAACUCCAUGGAUUCCAGUUUAUGAAAACAAACUAGAUUUGUAUGCUUGGUCGCUAACUACAUGCAUAUCCAAUUUGUAUGCUUGGUUGGUCGCUAUUUUGUCCACUUUCUUAAGCAAGCAAAUAGUUUUGUAAUAUGAACAUUAACAAUAUACAUUAUUAAACACUUAAGGUUAAUUAGGAACCAACAAUUGUCCAACAUGAAAAUAGUUUUACAUAUUUUUUCACUUUUUAGAAGAUCAUAACUACACUAGAAAUUCUACAAAUUAAUAUUCAAUAAAUUAAUAAACAUUAUAAAUUAAUAAACUUAAUCGAUUUCAAGUUGGGUCAAUUCAAAAUAUGACACAAAUUGAUAAAAUAAUAAGAUAAUAUCUUGUUGAAGAUCCCAUGUAAAUAAAUAGUCUCGCUAAAAUCAUAAUUUAAUAAUUUCUAUAUAUAAAAUUCCUGUAAGUAUAAAUAAUAUAUUAUUGUAUUGUUUGUUUUCGAUUUACAAUGGUAUUAUUUUAUAAUAUCUAAAAAUUUGUCUCUAAAAACACAUUUAAAUUAUAUGACACAUAUCUCAUAUACAUCAAAUAAUAUAAUAAAAAGGAUAUGCAGGUCGAUGUAUAAAAUUUAAUGAAUAUAUAAACAGUGAAAUCAAAUAUUUUUUCUUAUUAUACGAAAAUAUUUUCAAAAUAUAUAUAUUUAAAAAUUAUUAUUUUUAUAAAUUAAUAAUUCUGUAAAGUAAUAAAUUUAUAUAGUGCCAACAUUUUUAAUAGAGUUUUACUGUAUUUUUAUUUGUCCAUUUUCUCAAACAAAUAGUUUAGUAGUAUGCAUAUUAACACUACAUUAUUAAACACUAAAACUGAACUAUAAGUUUCUGUCUAACAUGAAAAGUUUCUAUAACUUCCAUAAAGCAAUACAUUUACACUUAAAAAAAAAGCCGCAUCCACAUAAAUUGCUAUAUCAGUUGAAUGUCAAAUUAAUCAACAAUACCAUCAAAAAAAAUGUUCAUAUUUAAAUAACAACAAAAAAGUUUAAAGCAAAUAAGAAAACAACUACAAUUAUUAAUACAUCAGUAACCCGCCAUCUAACAAAAGUUCUAUAUAAGAUCUUCAAUAAA
Brassica napus (rape) is the source of this 3338-nucleotide long non-coding RNA. RefSeq lists it as uncharacterized. The record is from RefSeq and is a predicted model, not a curated record. The transcript is spliced from 3 exons. Lineage: Eukaryota; Viridiplantae; Streptophyta; Magnoliopsida; Brassicales; Brassicaceae.